CUUCGCCGCCUCCCUCGUCAUCAUAAUUUAUGAUGUUUUCUCUCACGUCAUCGUCUGGACCUCCUUGGUACUUUAUGUGAGUUUCCCUUCUACGGUUGUAGACUACGAAGACCAGGACCAAUACUAAUAGAAAAAAUGGCUUUACAGCCAGAAUACACCCGACUAAAGUCAAAAUAAAAUCCUUCGAGGGCAUAAUGGCACCAACUGAGGCCAAUUCCAAUUCACAGUCCAACCCUGUUAAACCUGACGGACAGACACACUCGUACCUGAUUGGCGGAUGAUGAUCGAUACAAAUGCCACCAUUGGUACAGGGGUGCCAAUGGCAUUCGUUAAUAUUUUCACAUUUUUCUCCGGUUAGUCUAUAGCCUUCUGGACAGCUAUAAGAGCACUGAGGAUUUGUUUUUUAAGUGAAAAAUAGCUAUGGCUACGAGAGUGCGAAAUGAGCAUGCAGUACAGGGAUGGUUUCAGGCAAACCAAGAUGGCCGCCAACGCGCCCAUAGACAAUUUCAACGUUUGCCCUUCCUGGAUCAGUUGGCAAUUUUCGCCCCAGAAACCGUCGGGACAGUUGCA
Molecule: long non-coding RNA, 570 nt
Organism: Anthonomus grandis grandis
Lineage: Eukaryota; Metazoa; Arthropoda; Insecta; Coleoptera; Curculionidae
Exons: 4
Source: RefSeq, a predicted model, not a curated record